AUAGACAAACUCGAGGGACUUCUGGGAUAAGUCCCCCUAGGGCCAAGUUCCUCUGGGCUCAAGUCAUCCUAACUGUAGGCCCCUAACAGAGCCAGAGGUUCCAGUCACAAUGCUUAGGAAAGGGGGAAGCUGUUGCCAACUAUAUAAUGGCUGCUAGAUACCAGAGACCAGGUUACUUUCUUAACAGGAGACUUCCAACAGGUCCAUAAGGGCAUUCCAGUUUUCAUUGGGUGUUUCAGUGGGUAGCACCAAGGAAAGAGGCAUCCUUGCUCAGGGGGAGAUAGAUCAAAGAUUCCUGUCUGGAUCACAGUUGUGGUGGAUAACCAGGAGGGAAAAUCUGAAGCUGGAAAAAGGACUUGUGAGUCAAGAAGACUAGCUCAUAGAUUCUCCAAAUUCCAGUCUCAUUCACGAUGCAGUGAAAAGAGCACUUGAUUCGGCACCAGAGGACAUAGCUUUCCAAAUCAGACUUCCAUCUAGCAUCUGCCUACAAUCCUAAAUGACAUCCAUCGCAAUAAGUCCUCAUCUGCAAUACAACUGGACUUAAACUCUCAAGGUUUCUUCCAAUGCUGAUGUAAGAUUAUCUUCAAUGAAACCAAUUUUAAGUUCCAUGGGAGAGCUGGGGGGAGGAAGCAGAACAGCAUUAGUAUUGAGAGGUGAAAAUAUAAAAUAUACCUUCUUUCCAGUAUCACAUGGUUGGUGAGAUUAAGGUUCAGCAUCAGAAAAAAAAAGGGUUCAACUGAAGUUCAAAAGGCACUCCUAAUGCCAUUGCCUCCCUGGUUUUGAAGUUUAAUAAACAUCGUACUUUUCUUCAGAUGCUUCCUCUGUGCUAGAGAUUAGCA
Phascolarctos cinereus (koala) is the source of this 839-nucleotide non-coding RNA. NCBI's taxonomy places the organism in Eukaryota, Metazoa, Chordata, Mammalia, Diprotodontia, Phascolarctidae. The record is from RefSeq and is a predicted model, not a curated record.